Molecule: small nuclear RNA, 103 nt
Organism: Indicator indicator
Lineage: Eukaryota; Metazoa; Chordata; Aves; Piciformes; Indicatoridae
Source: RefSeq, a predicted model, not a curated record
UUGCUUUGGCAGCACUUAUACUAAAAUUGGAAUGAUACAGAGAAUGUUGGCAUGGCCCCUGUGCAAGGGUGAUGCACAAGUCUGUCAAGUCUUCCAUAUGCUA